UACAGAGGGGGCAAGCGUUAUUCGGAAUUAUUGGGCGUAAAGGGCGCGUAGGCGGCUUUGCAAGUGGCGGGUGAAAUCCCUCGGCUUAACCGAGGAACUGCCUGUCAAACUGCAUGGCUUGAGACCAGGAGAGGUGAGUGGAAUUCCCAGUGUAGCGGUGAAAUGCGUAGAUAUUGGGAGGAACACCAGUGGCGAAGGCGGCUCACUGGACCGGAACUGACGCUGAGGCGCGAAAGCGUGGGGAGCAAACAGG
This 253-nucleotide ribosomal RNA is filed under the name uncultured bacterium. Its description in RNAcentral is "partial 16S ribosomal RNA". It matches the Rfam family "Bacterial small subunit ribosomal RNA", at positions 524 to 776 of the family's 1533-position model. The record is from RNAcentral.